GACGAACGCUGGCGGCGUGCUUAACACAUGCAAGUCGAGCGCUGACGCCUCCUUCGGGGGGUGGAUGAGCGGCGAACGGGUGAGUAACACGUGGGUGACCUGCCCUCAGCUCUGGGAUAAGCCUGGGAAACUGGGUCUAAUACCGGAUAUGACCUUGCCCCGCCUGGGGUGGGGUGGAAAGUCCUGGGCGUGAUUGUCUGGGUUCGGCUGGGGAUGGGCCCGCGGCCUAUCAGCUUGUUGGUGGGGUAAUGGCCCACCAAGGCUUCUACGGGUAGCCGGCCUGAGAGGGCGACCGGCCACACUGGGACUGAGACACGGCCCAGACUCCUACGGGAGGCAGCAGUGGGAAUAUUGCGCAAUGGGCGAAAGCCUGACGCAGCAACGCCGCGUGAGGGAUGACUGCCUUCGGGUUGUAAACCUCUUUCAGCAGGGACGAAAACAGACGGUACCUGCAGAAGAAGCACCGGCCAACUACGUGCCAGCAGCCGCGGUAACACGUAGGGUGCGAGCGUUGUCCGGAAUUAUUGGGCGUAAAGGGCUCGUAGGCGGUCUGUUGCGUCGAAAGUGAAACCCCGAUGCUCAACAUCGGGCCUGCUUUCGAUACGGGCAGACUAGAGGUAGGCAGGGGGGACUGGAAUUCCUGGU
Molecule: ribosomal RNA, 645 nt
Filed under: uncultured Actinomycetales bacterium
Lineage: Bacteria; Bacillati; Actinomycetota; Actinomycetes; Actinomycetales
Description: bacterial SSU rRNA
Rfam family: Bacterial small subunit ribosomal RNA
Source: RNAcentral